RNAcentral lists this long non-coding RNA (1565 nucleotides) under Homo sapiens (human). Its description in RNAcentral is "HSALNT0012545". Lineage: Eukaryota; Metazoa; Chordata; Mammalia; Primates; Hominidae. The record is from RNAcentral.
CUCGAGGUUGGGCUGGCCAGAGCAAACAUAGCUUUCCCGGGGGAGACCAGGCCAUCUUUCUUCCUCUUACUUCAAAGGGGCUUUGGAACGCUCCACCCCAUGGGCUGAACAGAAUGUAUUUCAUUUUUUAGGAGGCUGGAAUCAGCUGCCGAGAAGGGCAGGGGCACCUUGGGCUCUCCUUCCCUUCCCCAUCUCCAGGACUCAGUAAGGAGGGAGGGCAUGAAAUCUCAGGCUCCUGGGCGGGGCUGGGGAGGCCGGCCUUGUCACAGGCAGGAGGGGCCGCAUUCCUUCCUCAGCAGCUGGUGGAGCUGGGCCUGAGCAGGACUUCCCCAAAGGACUGAGAAGGAAGCCUCCACUCUGUCGUCGCUCUCUGCUUGGAAUUGCCUUCGGAAGACAUCCUCAAUCCUGCCCCAGCCUUACGAUUGUUUUGUGUCAUUAGAUGAAGUCACUUCACUUCUGAAGCUCACUUGCCUUUUCUAAAAACCGGAGGCUGAUAAGGAUUGCAGGAAACUCAUGGAGUUGUUCCGAGGUUAAAAUGAGAGUCUGCCUGUGGAAGGACAUUGCAGAUGAUAGAAGACACAGAUGUAAGGCAUCUACCUUAUCUUUACCAGUUUCAUCUUCUUCAUCUUCAUCUCAUUACCAUGGUCAUCCUCGUUAGCAGGGAAGAGCAGGAGUUCUCACGGCAGGAUAGGCUUCGCGGCUGUGCUGGGAAAUGCCUGUCUGAAGUAGGCCACACAUGGGCUGUGUGGAGAGCUGCACAAUAGAAUGGAAAAGAGCACUGAAUCAGGAGUAAAAAGAGCUGGGUGUUGACUUGGUACAUCCACAAACUAGCUGUGUAACCUUGUGGAUGCCGUGAAUGUCUCUGUGCUUCAGCCUCCUCGCCUGCAAGAAGUAUGGCAGAUUCACAUCUUGAAUUAUAUGGUGCCCAACCGUAUUAGUGAUUCUGAUUCCCUGGUGAAUAUGGCAACCAGUGAAUUGGGAAGUGGGGGUGAGUAUCAGCUAAAGAAAUGAAAGCACCAGCCUGGCAGGUAAACAGUUCACAGUCCCCCAGAGAUGGCACAGAAGGGCUGUAGUACUAGGGGAUGGGAGACUUGGCAUCUUAGACAAGUCACUGUUCCUGUCUUGGCCUUGGAAUUUUGAUCUGGAAAAUGGGGAUGGGGAAUUGUGGAUGACUAAAGAUUUCUGAGCUGCCUUCCAGCUCUGCUGUUCUGUGAUGGCCCAUGUGAGUCACAGGUAGGUGCUUCUGUGGUGGCCGGCUGGCCGUUUAUCUGGUGGCCUCCCCUCCUCCCUCCCUGCGGGUGGCCCCUCUCCCACACCCUUUCUAACACACUGGGCAUAACUGCUUUACAGCAUCCAUCUGGCUGCUCUUGGUGUGUCUCUGUGUGAGCAACUUCAGAACAAGACUUCUCAACUUUUAAAAAAAGCCUGAUUAAAAAAUUCUCUGUUGAUUAUUAAACAUGCUCAUUGUAGGGAAAAACAAAAUUCAUAAAGCAGAUAAAGAAUUCUAAUAAAUCUGAGACAUCUACUGUUAGCAUUUUGUUAUCUUUUCUUUUAGUCUCUUCUCU